Long non-coding RNA from Cyprinus carpio (common carp), 895 nucleotides. RefSeq lists it as uncharacterized. NCBI's taxonomy places the organism in Eukaryota, Metazoa, Chordata, Actinopteri, Cypriniformes, Cyprinidae. The transcript has 4 exons. The record is from RefSeq and is a predicted model, not a curated record.
AAAAUCUUGAAUCUUGAUUGGAUGCAAAAAAUCUACUUUUUUAUAUACAUCAAGAUGCUCCAGCAGCUUCUGUCACUACAAGAUCUCCUUCAACUGAGUAUGAAACAUCAGCUCCUCCAACUCCUGCAACUACAAAAUCUCAUUUAACUGAGUCUGAAACAUCAGGUCCUACAAGACUAAAAGUGAUUGAGAAUCUCACAGUAACUGAAAUCUCCACAUCAUUUGUGCUUCUGAAAUGGGAUGAACCACUUGAAAUUGUGGCGUUGUCCUUUAAAGUUCAAUGGACUGCUGAUGAAACAUCUGGAAAUGCAACAGUCACAGAAACAUCAGCGAUGUCACACCAGUAUAACAUUACUGGCCUGACUGCUGGAGUCAAUUACACAUUUUGCAUCACUGCCACUGUAGCAGAUACAUCAACAGAAAGUGAAUCUGUCUGUAUCUCAGCAUGGACCAAGCCAGAUGUGAUCAGUAAUCUCAAAGUGACUGAAAUCACAACAUCUUCUGUGUUUCUGAUAUGGGAUGAACCAGUUGGAAAAAGAUCUUUCUUUAAAAUUCAAUGGACUGGUGAUAAAACAAGUGGAAAUUCAACAACUACUAACACUUCCUAUCACAUCACUAGUCUGACUGCUGGAGUCAAUUACACAUUUUUCAUCACAGCUGUUGCGGCAGAUAAAUCAACAGAAGGAGAAUCAGUGGUUACCUCAAAUUAUACUAGUAUGUUUUCCUGUUACUUUUAAGUGUCCUCUUUAUGGAGCCCCGCACAUGACAUGCAAGAAAAAUAUAAAUAAAUUGUGGACAUGAUUUAUUUAUUUGUUCCUUCGAUUUACUAGAUAGUGCACCUGAUUUGAUAAUUUGUUCCCUUGUUUUAAGUAAAUUGUGCACACGAUUUAUUAAA